RNAcentral lists this unclassified non-coding RNA (382 nucleotides) under uncultured bacterium. RNAcentral describes it as "contains 16S-23S intergenic spacer region". The record is from RNAcentral.
UCGCGGCUUAUCACCGGCAGUCCCCCUAGAGUGCCCAACUCAAUGAUGGCAACUAGGGGCGAGGGUUGCGCUCGUUGCGGGACUUAACCCAACAUCUCACGACACGAGCUGACGACAGCCAUGCAGCACCUGUGUUCCCGCCAGCCGAACUGAAGGACCCCGUCUCCGGGACCCAUACGGGACAUGUCAAGGGUUGGUAAGGUUCUGCGCGUUGCUUCGAAUUAAACCACAUGCUCCGCUGCUUGUGCGGGCCCCUGUCAAUUCCUUUGAGUUUUAGCCUUGCGGCCGUACUCCCCAGGCGGGAUACUUAAUGCGUUAGCUUCGGCACGGAGGGGGUUGACACCCCCCACACCUAGUAUCCAUCGUUUACAGCGUGGACUAC